CUCUUCGAGACUUUACUUUUUCUUUUUGGAACUACACGUAAAUUCAAUUUUCACAGUCCUCUUUCAAAACAUAAUAUUUUUUUCCUUAUCUUCAAAUUGUUCAACAUGUGGUUGUUAGACACCACUAGUAUGUAGUACCUCACUACAAUGAAGGCAAUCUGUGCCUAUAAAUUUGUGUGAUGCACUCUUACAAAUUCACUCAAUUCCUU
This 209-nucleotide long non-coding RNA is filed under the name Solanum tuberosum (potato). RNAcentral's name for it is "long non-coding RNA (STUB_LNC009403)". The record is from RNAcentral. Lineage: Eukaryota; Viridiplantae; Streptophyta; Magnoliopsida; Solanales; Solanaceae.